AAUUUGUUACACAGCAAUAGAUAGCUAACACAGAGUUAUUUAAUGGAACCCCAGUGUGGCAUUAUGGAUAAUUUUACAUGGGUGGGUCAACUUGGUUUCAGAGAUGAAGAAAAUAUUUCAGAAGCAGUGUAUAGGCUUUAAAUCUGGUGGACAUGGGCACCAAUUCAGGCUGUGUCUGUGGAAAGACAGGUAGAGGGACCCACAUAAAAUGUCUGCAAAGAGAUUUCUCUGCAGCAGGAUGGUAAGGACAAGGACCUCAGCUGUCUUGGUCACCGUGGUAUCCAGGCUCUGGCACAUAGUAGGCUCUCUGCAAAUCUUUCUUCAAUGGAUGGAUGGAUGGUUAGCUAUAACUUUGAGUAAGCCAUUCAGUUAUCUGGGCCAUCAUCAUUCAUUGGGCUUUUGUCAUGUGCUGAGUACAUAACGUUGAUUAAGUUCCAUGGAACUGGAGUUCCCAUUGUGGCUCAGCAGGUUAAGGACCCGAGAUGCUGUCUCCAUGGGCAUGUGGGUUCAAUCCCUGGUCUCGCUCAGUGGGGUUAAGGAUCCGACACUUGCCAUAAGCUGCAGCACAGGUCACAGAUGUGGCUUGGAUCCAGUGUAGGCUUGUAGCUGCAAUUCUGAUUCAUCCUCUAGCCCAGGCACUUCCAUAUGCUGCUGGUGUGGCCAAGAAAAAAGUUCCAUUGAACUUUUGUGUCCUAUACAGAUUAUAUGUGCCUCCCCUGCCACCCGCCCCAUUGCCUUCCUUCCCUCACUGUCUCUUCUCCUUGGACUUCUUUUUUAUUUUUAUAGACACCUCAUGAGCUUUAAUUUCUAUGCUGAAAACUUUCUCAAGGGAGCACCCUAUUCUAUCCCCCCCCCUUCUUUAUCUUUUAUGUCUUUUUAGGCCCACACCUGUGGCAUAUGGAGGUUCCCAGGCUAGGGGUCUAAUCAGAGCUACAGCUGCCAGCCUGCACCACAGCCACAGCAACACUGGAUCUGAGCCGUGUCUGUGACCUACACCACAGCUCACGGCAACGCCAGAUCCUUAACCCACUGAGUGAGGCCAGGGAUAGAACCCCCACCCUCAUGGUUCCUAGUUGGAUUCGUUUCUGCUGCGCCAUGAUGGGAACUCCUUUUUCCCCUUUCUUUUGGUUGAAAAAUGACUUGAAAGGGCUGCUGCUAAGUAAGAGCAGUUCAGUUUCCCACCAUGACAGCUAUCUCCAGUCCAUUUUACCCCUUUCCUACUGACUUUAUGGCGCUGAUUUUAACCAGGUUUUAUUGUAACAGAAAUGCUCUGGGGGUGGAGGAGAAUCAAACAGAGCGAUUUGCCUCAGACUCUUGUCCCAUCCGCCGACAAACACCCCCUUCUCCGCAGCUGGCUCUGUACUUCCCCCUCCUCCACCAUCAGCACCACCAUCAGCACCAUUAUUGCCACGCAGCCAUUGUUUAUUGAGUGCCCACUGCGUGCUAAUCCCUGAGUUAUGCAGCCGCUUCAUGCAUUAUUUACAUCUGUGCUAGAAGCUCUGAGUUUUGGCUUUGCCAGUUUUGUUAGUCCCGGCCCUUCAAAAAGCAGACUCCAAGCUGGGACUAACCGUGCAAGGAUUUUAUUAGGGGAAAAUAAAUGCCAGUGAGGUGGGAGCUAGAAAAGGCCAGGAGGACUCUCAGAGCCCAAGUGAAGGAAGGAGGCAGAGAACGUUAGGCACAAGUGUCCUGAACUCUGCCAUUGAUGAAGUGCAGCCCCCGGGAAGGAUGGCCCAUUGAUUUCAAAGCACAGCAGCUGGUGUCCUCAACUCCCUGCAGUAGGAAGUGUGCGGAAGAAUGUUUUUGUGGCUGCCACACAAAUACUUAAUUCUUCUUUCUUUUUAUGCAUCAGAAACCUGAUUUAUUUGGGGGGGGCGCAAAGACCUGAUUAUGAAUGAAAAGAUUUUAGUUCCCAGCCUUCCUUGCAUCUAGGUGUGGCUUGAUGACUAUAUUGCAUGACUCCUGGUUAUGCAACAUAAACAGGAGUGUUAGAAAGCCCUGACAGAAAUGCUCCUUACGGGCAUCUGACUUGACUGGGAAGUGCAUCCUUUCUUCCCUUCUCUCUACCAGGACUGCAGGCAAAAUGGCUGCAGCCUCAGCAGCCGUUUUGUGCCAAGAGGCAAUAUGUUAAUAAUGAAACGGCAGAUUAGAAACCUCAUGACAGUUCUGGAUUGCCUAGCUCCAGCUUUAACCUGAGAGAAGAAUAAACUCUUUUGUUUAAGCCCUUAUUACUUUGUUUGCAUUAUAAGCAGGUAAAUCUAAUUCUAAUUGGUACAGUAUCUCAUCUUCACCAUAGCUCUACAAGGCAAGCAUAUUUAUGCCCAUUUUACAGAUGAGGAAAAUGAAUCUUAGAAUGAUUAUUAGAACCUAAAU
Molecule: long non-coding RNA, 2370 nt
Filed under: Sus scrofa (pig)
Lineage: Eukaryota; Metazoa; Chordata; Mammalia; Artiodactyla; Suidae
Description: lncRNA (ENSSSCG00000043668.1, ENSSSCG00055025703.1, ENSSSCG00065015152.1)
Source: RNAcentral